AUUGAACGCUGGCGGCAUGCUUUACACAUGCAAGUCGAACGGUAACAGGUUAAGCUGACGAGUGGCGAACGGGUGAGUAAUGCAUCGGAACGUGCCCGGUCGUGGGGGAUAACGCAGCGAAAGCUGCGCUAAUACCGCAUACGAUCUGAGGAUGAAAGCGGGGGACCGUAAGGCCUCGCGCGAUCGGAGCGGCCGAUGUCAGAUUAGGUAGUUGGUGGGGUAAAGGCUCACCAAGCCAACGAUCUGUAGCUGGUCUGAGAGGACGACCAGCCGCACUGGGACUGAGACACUGCCCAGACUCCGACGGGAGGCAGCAGUGGGGAAUUUUGGACAAUGGGCGAAAGCCUGAUGCAGCAAUGCCGCGUGCAGGAAGAAGGCCUUCGGGUUGUAAACUGCUUUUGUACGGAGCGAAAAGGUCUCCUCUAAUACAGGGGGCUCAUGACGGUACCGUAAGAAUAAGUACCGGCUAACUACGUGCCAGCCGCCGCAGUAA
This 493-nucleotide ribosomal RNA is filed under the name uncultured bacterium. RNAcentral's name for it is "partial 16S ribosomal RNA". It matches the Rfam family "Bacterial small subunit ribosomal RNA", at positions 29 to 523 of the family's 1533-position model. The record is from RNAcentral.